This 524-nucleotide ribosomal RNA is filed under the name uncultured bacterium. RNAcentral describes it as "bacterial SSU rRNA". It matches the Rfam family "Bacterial small subunit ribosomal RNA", at positions 355 to 874 of the family's 1533-position model. The record is from RNAcentral.
CUAAGAAUAUUCCGCAAUGGGCGAAAGCCUGACGGAGCGACGCCGCGUGGAUGACGAAGGCCGAAAGGUUGUAAAAUUCUUUUGCGGGCGAAGAAGAAGGCGCGGAGGGAAUGCCGCGCCGGUGACGCCGGCCCGCGAAUAAGCCCCGGCUAAUUACGUGCCAGCAGCCGCGGUAACACGUAAGGGGCGAGCGUUGUUCGGAAUUAUUGGGCGUAAAGGGCGCGUAGGCGGCCGCGUAAGUCUGAUGUGAAAACCCCGGGCUCAACCCGGGAACUGCAUUGGAAACUGCGCGGCUUGAGUCACGGAGGGGAAGCCGGAAUUCCUGGUGUAGGGGUGAAAUCUGUAGAUAUCAGGAAGAACACCGAUGGCGAAGGCAGGCUUCCAGCCGAUGACUGACGCUGAGGCGCGAAAGCGCGGGGAGCAAACAGGAUUAGAUACCCUGGUAGUCCGCGCUGUAAACGAUGCGCACUAGGCGUCGGGGCGAGCGUUCCGGUGCCGAAGCGAACGCGGUAAGUGCGCCGCCU